CCUACGGGAGGCAGCAGUGGGGAAUAUUGCACAAUGGGGGAAACCCUGAUGCAGCGACGCCGCGUGAGUGAAGAAGUAUUUCGGUACGUAAAGCUCUAUCAGCAGGGAAGAAAAUGACGGUACCUGACUAAGAAGCCCGGGCUAACUACGUGCCAGCAGCCGCGGUAAUACGUAGGGGGCAAGCGUUAUCCGGAUUUACUGGGUGUAAAGGGAGCGUAGACGGCAGCGCAAGUCUGGAGUGAAAUCCCAUGGCUUAACCAUGGAACUGCUUUGGAAACUGUGCAGCUAGAGUGCAGGAGAGGUAAGCGGAAUUCCUAGUGUAGCGGUGAAAUGCGUAGAUAUUAGGAGGAACACCAGUGGCGAAGGCGGCUUACUGGACUGUAACUGACGUUGAGGCUCGAAAGCGUGGGGAGCAAACAGGAUUAGAUACCCUAGUAGUC
Molecule: ribosomal RNA, 440 nt
Filed under: uncultured bacterium
Lineage: Bacteria
Description: partial 16S ribosomal RNA
Rfam family: Bacterial small subunit ribosomal RNA
Source: RNAcentral